AGUUAAUUAUCACAAAUGUCUAACUUGUUUUUUUUACGUUUUUUUUGGUGGCUGCUUGUCCUGGCCUUUGCCUUUAGCACUGUCAUGUUGGCGUGCUCUGGUGGACCGUCUUGGUGGUGAUGAGACUGGCGUGAUAUUUGGAGUAGUCGUACCAGAACUGCUGGUUGUUUGCUGUUGGUGCAUGCAUCUGAAAGUUUCAUUCAGCAUCUUAUACCCAAUGUCAUACUGUAUGACUCAAGUGGACAUACAUAUCUUUACUGGAUGUGGACAAGGCCAUUUAGUUUGGAUUCCAUUUCAGCUUUUACUUACUGCGUUUGAUACUCACAAUCAAGAUGAGGGGAGUGUGGAUGAGGUCUUGGAGGUGUGUCCAAAAUUUGGAGUGGGGGGACAGAACAUACGGACGAUAAUCUUCGUGGCGGGGUAGCCUGCUUUCUUUUCGGCCACAGGUUUCUUGUGGUGAUGUCUUACAGAAGAGCCACUUCUGCUGCUCCAUACUUCUUUUGAUGGACCUUUUAAUGAAAGUGCAAUUUUGUUAUGGCCAUUCCUUUACAAGCAUACCCGAUACUACAAUGGACACUUUACCUGCUUCCGCAGCGUCAUCAUCAUCAGAUGUGUUAGGAUUUACUGGCCGACGAGUAGUACUUCUUUUUUCAGACACUGUAUAAAAUGAUAUAUAUUCAUAAAUCAUGCUAUUGUGUAUACAUUCACCCAUUAUGCUUAUAAACAGUUUUACAUUUAGAAA
Pseudophryne corroboree (corroboree frog) is the source of this 742-nucleotide long non-coding RNA. RefSeq lists it as uncharacterized. The transcript has 3 exons. NCBI's taxonomy places the organism in Eukaryota, Metazoa, Chordata, Amphibia, Anura, Myobatrachidae. The record is from RefSeq and is a predicted model, not a curated record.